Molecule: ribosomal RNA, 36 nt
Filed under: Prospero autumnale (starry hyacinth)
Lineage: Eukaryota; Viridiplantae; Streptophyta; Magnoliopsida; Asparagales; Asparagaceae
Source: RNAcentral
GGGAGUGAUCAUACCAGCACUAAAGCACCGAGUUCC